Molecule: long non-coding RNA, 978 nt
Filed under: Malus domestica (apple)
Lineage: Eukaryota; Viridiplantae; Streptophyta; Magnoliopsida; Rosales; Rosaceae
Description: long non-coding RNA (MDOM_LNC012646)
Source: RNAcentral
CAACACAAAUCAAAUGAUGGACUUAUGUCCAUUUACAACAAAUUGAAUUAAUCAAAUUACAUUUAAAUCUACACUACUAAAACCCAAACAUUCAUAAUGUAAAUCGGCCAAUCACAUAGCUCAAUUAUCGUGGCCAUUGGUUCAUAAUCACCCUUUUCUUAAUCAAUCACAUUAACUAAGAAAGCAACUUAAACAAUUGGUUUUUUUGGAUCCAUAGAAUUGAUUUAAAUGGAACUAAAUGAAAUGAAAAUCCAAUUCUCAUUAAAGAGACAAAACAAUUUUGUUCUCAUUUUAUUUGGGCCAAAAGGAAACUAUGACCACAACAAUUGGGCCAUAAUGCAAAUACAAAAACUUUUGGGGUCACUUUGUAAAAACACAAUAGUCCACAACUUCAUGUAAUUACAACUAGAUCCCAAAAUUUUAUUAAUGUAAAAACAUCAUUAAAGGAUCAAAACAAUUCGUCCUUUAGUGUUUUAGGGCCUUAACGUAAAAACGUAAACUUUUGGGCCAAAGUGAAAAUACACAAAAGUAUCAAAACUUUAUGUAAUUGCGUAAAAGACCCCAAAAGUACCCCCACUAGGGGGUGGCCGGUUUUGGAGUGGUAAAGGAGUGUGAAAGGGUUUUAUGCAAGUUGAUUUUGGUGGGUGAGGUAAAGGUGAAAUUGAUGGUUUGUAAGAAAAUGUUUUGUAAAACAUUUAUGAGUUUAGACAAACAUUAAAGCCAAAAUUAAUGUUUCACCAAUAACUUUCACCCAUCAAAAUUAAACCAAAACUUUAUGAAAAACAUAAACUUUUGAAUCAAAACUUCAAACCUUUUUGUUCUUGGCAAGAACUUCAAGAACAUUUGAAGAACACCAUGAAAACUCAUAAUAGCUCCAUGAAUGUUUUCAUUCACCAAAACUCAAUUUUUUCACCACUCAAAAGAGGGCUAAUAUCCUAGGGUACUUAGGGGUUCCAAAAGUCACCUUAAAACCAUUUU